CGCAGUAGGAUAGGCGAAGCGUGCGAUUGGAUUGCACGUCUAAGCAGUAAGGCUGAGUAUUAGGCAAAUCCGGUACUCGUUAAGGCUGAGCUGUGAUGGGGAGAAGACAUUGUGUCUUCGAGUCGUUGAUUUCACACUGCCGAGAAAAGCCUCUAGAUAGAAAAUAGGUGCCCGUACCGCAAACCGACACAGGUAGUCAAGAUGAGAAUUCUAAGGUGAGCGAGCGAACUCUCGUUAAGGAACUCGGCAAAAUGACCCCGUAACUUCGGGAGAAGGGGUGCUCUUUAGGGUUAACGCCCAGAAGAGCCGCAGUGAAUAGGCCCAAGCGACUGUUUAUCAAAAACACAGGUCUCUGCUAAACCGUAAGGUGAUGUAUAGGGGCUGACGCCUGCCCGGUGCUGGAAGGUUAAGAGGAGUGGUUAGCUUCUGCGAAGCUACGAAUCGAAGCCCCAGUAAACGGCGGCCGUAACUAUAACGGUCCUAAGGUAGCGAAAUUCCUUGUCGGGUAAGUUCCGACCCGCACGAAAGGCGUAACGAUUUGGGCACUGUCUCAACGAGAGACUCGGUGAAAUCAUAGUACCUGUGAAGAUGCAGGUUACCCGCGACAGGACGGAAAGACCCCGUGGAGCUUUACUGUAGCCUGAUAUUGAAAUUCGGCACAGCUUGUACAGGAUAGGUAGGAGCCUUUGAAACGUGAGCGCUAGCUUACGUGGAGGCGCUGGUGGGAUACUACCCUAGCUGUGUUGGCUUUCUAACCCGCACCACUUAUCGUGGUGGGAGACAGUGUCAGGCGGGCAGUUUGACUGGGGCGGUCGCCUCCUAAAAGGUAACGGAGGCGCUCAAAGGUUCCCUCAGAAUGGUUGGAAAUCAUUCAUAGAGUGUAAAGGCAUAAGGGAGCUUGACUGCGAGACCUACAAGUCGAGCAGGGUCGAAAGACGGACUUAGUGAUCCGGUGGUUCCGCAUGGAAGGGCCAUCGCUCAACGGAUAAAAGCUACCCCGGGGAUAACAGGCUUAUCUCCCCCAAGAGUUCACAUCGACGGGGAGGUUUGGCACCUCGAUGUCGGCUCAUCGCAUCCUGGGGCUGUAGUCGGUCCCAAGGGUUGGGCUGUUCGCCCAUUAAAGCGGUACGCGAGCUGGGUUCAGAACGUCGUGAGACAGUUCGGUCCCUAUCCGUCGUGGGCGUAGGAAAUUUGAGAGGAGCUGUCCUUAGUACGAGAGGACCGGGAUGGACAUACCUCUGGUGUACCAGUUGUCGUGCCAACGGCAUAGCUGGGUAGCUAUGUGUGGACGGGAUAAGUGCUGAAAGCAUCUAAGCAUGAAGCCCCCCUCAAGAUGAGAUUUCCCAACUUCGGUUAUAAGAUCCCUCAAAGAUGAUGAGGUUAAUAGGUUCGAGGUGGAAGCAUGGUGACAUGUGGAGCU
RNAcentral lists this ribosomal RNA (1420 nucleotides) under Staphylococcus aureus. Its description in RNAcentral is "partial 23S ribosomal RNA". It matches the Rfam family "Bacterial large subunit ribosomal RNA", at positions 1473 to 2892 of the family's 2925-position model. Lineage: Bacteria; Bacillati; Bacillota; Bacilli; Caryophanales; Staphylococcaceae. The record is from RNAcentral.